This is a long non-coding RNA of Balaenoptera musculus (blue whale), 1015 nucleotides long. RefSeq lists it as uncharacterized. The record is from RefSeq and is a predicted model, not a curated record. The transcript has 3 exons. NCBI's taxonomy places the organism in Eukaryota, Metazoa, Chordata, Mammalia, Artiodactyla, Balaenopteridae.
CAUUAUCAGUGAAAGAAGCCAGACACCAAAGGCCAAAUAUUGUGUGAGUCCAUAUCUACAGGCAAAUCCAUAGACACAGAAAAGAGAUGAAUGAUUCCCGGAGGCUGGCUGGGAAGGAAGGAGGAGUGACAAGUGACUUCUUAGUGGGAAACAGCCCAAAUGAUCAUCAACAGAUGAACGAAUCAACAAAUUGUGCUCCAUCCAUGCAGUGGAAUACUACUCAGCUGUAAAGAGGAAGGAACACCUGAUUGACAGAACUUGAUGGAUCUCUAAAGCAUGAGGGGAAGUAAAGGAAGCCAGACUCAAAAGGAAGCUGCAAUCAUGGUGUUGGCCAGGCUCAUCUGGAGGCUCUCCUGAGGGAAAAUGCACUUUCAACCUCAUUCAAGCUGUUGGCAGAAUUCAUCCUGUGAAGGAUGAUGGGGCCCUGGUUAUUUGCUGGCUGUCGGCUGGAGGCCGCCCCUGAGGCCCUAGAGACCACUCACAGCUCCAAAGUGGCUACUUACUUCAUCAAGCCUGGGGGGAGAGGCUCUCCCACCAGUCGGCUAAGACAGACUCCUUUUUUUCUUUCAGUAAGUUGUAUCUGACCAUGAGCAUUGUUUUACAGCUGGAAAGUCCUGCAGUGAUCAUCCAGUUUAAGCUCAAGGAAAUUGAGGUCCACAAAAGUUAACAUAUUUAACCAUUGGUAGAAAAAUGAAAUUAGAAUUUAAAUUAAUUGAUUCCUAGCCCAGGGAUCUUUUUAACCACACCAAGCUACUUCCUGUAUUUGCUUCAUUGUUUAAGUGAGAAUGAUAAGCAGUGAUUACACACAAUUCAUAACAUGUGAGCAAACACUCUCCUUAAUAUUGACCAAUAUUCUGCCAUUUUGAGUAAUAUUUAGCCAGUGUAGACAAAACAAUGCCAAUAAUAAUAGUGAGUACCCUCUACUUUCUGGGCAUGCAGAAUUGUCAUUGAUCUUCACAUAAGACACAGUCUUAUACAGAUGAAUGGGUAAAUGGAUAUAUAUAUAUGCAAUGGA